GCGGUGAAAUGCGUAGAUAUCGAGAGGAACACCUGCGGCGAAGGCGGGUUGCUGGGCUGACACUGACGCUGAGGCGCGAAAGCUAGGGGAGCGAACGGGAUUAGAUACCCCGGUAGUCCUAGCCUUAAACGAUGAAUGCUUGGUGUCUGGGGUUUUAUAGUCCCCGGGUGCCGUCGCUAACGCUUUAAGCAUUCCGCCUGGGGAGUACGGUCGCAAGACUGAAACUCAAAUGAAUUGACGG
This 241-nucleotide ribosomal RNA is filed under the name uncultured bacterium. RNAcentral's name for it is "partial 16S ribosomal RNA". It matches the Rfam family "Bacterial small subunit ribosomal RNA", at positions 678 to 916 of the family's 1533-position model. The record is from RNAcentral.